RNAcentral lists this long non-coding RNA (424 nucleotides) under Androctonus crassicauda. The record is from RNAcentral. Lineage: Eukaryota; Metazoa; Arthropoda; Arachnida; Scorpiones; Buthidae.
AUUUUGAAUUUUAUUGUAUGAUUAUAUUUAUAAGUUUGAAUUUAGUUAAAAUAAUUAAUUGUCAGUUGUAUCUUGUGAAUAAUAAAGUAGUUAGAUUACAUGGAAAAUUUUUUUUGGAGGCCAUUACUACACUUAUGCGGUGGAUAGAGCGCCGUGAAUUGAACAGCCAGUUAAAAGUGUCCGUUACAAAACGAAUGGAAAAGGAGGGAGCACGGGGUGUAGUUUUCAUCAGAGUUUUGGCCAAGGGCCAAACAUGACAGAAUAAAAAGAACUCUUUGCAGUACUGCUUUUAUGUAUAUAUCUCUAGAAUGCAUUUUAUAGUAGUUUAUUUAUGGAAAUGUUUGUAUUUGAUACAGUGAAAUUAAUCUUAAAUCUGCAUAGUGUAUAAAUGAUUUGAUCUUAAUUUUUAUAUAUUAAUUGUAAU